RNAcentral lists this ribosomal RNA (428 nucleotides) under uncultured bacterium. RNAcentral's name for it is "partial 16S ribosomal RNA". It matches the Rfam family "Bacterial small subunit ribosomal RNA", at positions 354 to 796 of the family's 1533-position model. The record is from RNAcentral.
GUGGGGAAUAUUGGGCAAUGGGCGAAAGCCUGACCCAGCAACGCCGCGUGAGGGAAGAAGGCCUUCGGGUUGUAAACCUCUGUCCUUGGUGACGAAAAAAAUGACGGUAGCCAAGGAGGAAGCCCCGGCUAACUACGUGCCAGCAGCCGCGGUAAUACGUAGGGGGCGAGCGUUGUCCGGAAUUACUGGGCGUAAAGGGUGCGUAGGUGGCCUGUUAAGUUGGAUGUGAAAUACCCGGGCUUAACUUGGGGAGUGCAUCUAAUACUGGAGGGCUAGAGUGCAGGAGAGGGAAGCGGAAUUCCUAGUGUAGCGGUGAAAUGCGUAGAUAUUAGGAGGAACACCAGUGGCGAAGGCGGCUUUCUGGACUGUAACUGACACUGAGGCACGAAAGCGUGGGGAGCAAACAGGAUUAGAUACCCUUGUAGUCC